Molecule: ribosomal RNA, 1398 nt
Filed under: Klebsiella pneumoniae
Lineage: Bacteria; Pseudomonadati; Pseudomonadota; Gammaproteobacteria; Enterobacterales; Enterobacteriaceae
Description: bacterial SSU rRNA
Rfam family: Bacterial small subunit ribosomal RNA
Source: RNAcentral
AGUCGAGCGGUAGCACAGAGAGCUUGCUCUCGGGUGACGAGCGGCGGACGGGUGAGUAAUGUCUGGGAAACUGCCUGAUGGAGGGGGAUAACUACUGGAAACGGUAGCUAAUACCGCAUAACGUCGCAAGACCAAAGUGGGGGACCUUCGGGCCUCAUGCCAUCAGAUGUGCCCAGAUGGGAUUAGCUAGUAGGUGGGGUAACGGCUCACCUAGGCGACGAUCCCUAGCUGGUCUGAGAGGAUGACCAGCCACACUGGAACUGAGACACGGUCCAGACUCCUACGGGAGGCAGCAGUGGGGAAUAUUGCACAAUGGGCGCAAGCCUGAUGCAGCCAUGCCGCGUGUGUGAAGAAGGCCUUCGGGUUGUAAAGCACUUUCAGCGGGGAGGAAGGCGUUAAGGUUAAUAACCUUGGCGAUUGACGUUACCCGCAGAAGAAGCACCGGCUAACUCCGUGCCAGCAGCCGCGGUAAUACGGAGGGUGCAAGCGUUAAUCGGAAUUACUGGGCGUAAAGCGCACGCAGGCGGUCUGUCAAGUCGGAUGUGAAAUCCCCGGGCUCAACCUGGGAACUGCAUUCGAAACUGGCAUGCUAGAGUCUUGUAGGGGGUAGAAUUCCAGGUGUAGCGGUGAAAUGCGUAGAGAUCUGGAGGAAUACCGGUGGCGAAGGCGGCCCCCUGGACAAAGACUGACGCUCAGGUGCGAAAGCGUGGGGAGCAAACAGGAUUAGAUACCCUGGUAGUCCACGCCGUAAACGAUGUCGAUUUGGAGGUUGUGCCCUUGAGGCGUGGCUUCCGGAGCUAACGCGUUAAAUCGACCGCCUGGGGAGUACGGCCGCAAGGUUAAAACUCAAAUGAAUUGACGGGGGCCCGCACAAGCGGUGGAGCAUGUGGUUUAAUUCGAUGCAACGCGAAGAACCUUACCUGGUCUUGACAUCCACAGAACUUUCCAGAGAUGGAUUGGUGCCUUCGGGAACUGUGAGACAGGUGCUGCAUGGCUGUCGUCAGCUCGUGUUGUGAAAUGUUGGGUUAAGUCCCGCAACGAGCGCAACCCUUAUCCUUUGUUGCCAGCGGUUAGGCCGGGAACUCAAAGGAGACUGCCAGUGAUAAACUGGAGGAAGGUGGGGAUGACGUCAAGUCAUCAUGGCCCUUACGACCAGGGCUACACACGUGCUACAAUGGCAUAUACAAAGAGAAGCGACCUCGCGAGAGCAAGCGGACCUCAUAAAGUAUGUCGUAGUCCGGAUUGGAGUCUGCAACUCGACUCCAUGAAGUCGGAAUCGCUAGUAAUCGUAGAUCAGAAUGCUACGGUGAAUACGUUCCCGGGCCUUGUACACACCGCCCGUCACACCAUGGGAGUGGGUUGCAAAAGAAGUAGGUAGCUUAACCUUCGGGAGGGCGC